UGGAGUCAGAAGUGAGAGACAGCAUUAAACCAUCACACCCUCAAACAUGAACGUCCGGCACACUUUGAUCUGCUUCCUCUUCCUCACACUGAGGGAUGGAAACAGUGGGCUCACCAACGCACAAAACCUCGACCGUACAGAAACUGAAGGAGGAAACAUCACAGUUGCAUGCUCCUUUUCUUUCUCUGGAGGAAGGAAGAUGUUCUGUAAGGGAAAAUGUGAAGAAGGAAACAUUCUGGUAGAAACGACCGGAGACUCAGCUCAGAGAGGCCGAUACAGCAUCAGAUAUGUGGAAGGGUCUCUAUUAUCUAACGCAAUUCUGUAUGUGAGCAUCACAAAGCUGACCAAGUCUGACGCAGGACGGUACCAAUGUGGUCUGGACAGAUUUGGAACCGACUCAUACCAGGACUUUGAGAUCAGAGUUAAAGAUGCACUGAGGGAUGGAAACAGUGGGCUCACCAACGCACAAAACCCCCUCCGUACAGAAACUGAAGGAGGAAACAUCACAGUUGCAUGCUCCUUUUCUUUCUCUGGAAAAAGGAAGCUCUUCUGUAAGGGAAAAUGUGAAGAAGGAAACAUUCUGGUAGAAACGACCGGAGACUCAGAACAGAGAGGCAGAUACUGCAUCAGAUAUGUGGGGUCUGUAUUAUCUGUAUAUCUGUAUGUGAGCAUCACAAAGCUGACCAAGUCUGACGCAGGACGGUACCAAUGUGGUAUGGAGGACAGACCUUUCCUCCCUGACUCAUACCAGGACAUUGAGAUCAGAGUUAAAGAUGCUCCAACAUCUUCAAAACCAGAAGUGACUCCCCGACCGUUUUCAACAUCAUCCCCAUCAGCCUCCACACUGACCACCACUCAGAGUCUGAGCUCCAUACCUUCAUCAGCCUCCCCUGAACGCACCACGCAGAGUUUAAGCUCCGUACCUUCAUCAGCCUCCCCUGAACGCACCACGCAGAGUUUAAGCUCCGUACCAUCAUCAGCCUCCCCUGAACGCACCACGCAGCCUCAACAGGGACAGACAGCUUCAGAUGGUCACGGUGUGGUGCUGUAUGUGCGUCUGACUCUGGUCGUCAUGUUCAUCGUACUCUCAGCGUCUGUGCUGAUAUUCUGCUGGAAGAGGGCCAGGAAACCCAGAGAAACUGCUGAUGAAGCUGAGUAUGUCAAUGUCACAGAGGCUAACAGAGUGUGAGGAGGUCAGAGAGGAGGACAGAGGCAGCAGAUCUCCUCCUAUAGAAAUGUCUGUUCUCUCCACUUCCCACUGCAGACACUUCUCAGAAGACAACUGAAGAGGACCUGUGUAAACUCACCUGCGUAAACUCACCUGCUUUGAGGAGGAUGUGUCCCUCCGUGCAGGGUCCUCGCCCCACAGCGCCCCCUGUGGUGAUCCAGAUAACGUCAUCUACUUCGUCCUUUGGGUAGAAACGACUUUGGACACGCAGAAGACGCUUUUUCUCCUCUCUACUCCCCUGUAACUAAAUCAGAUGCUGCUUCAACUCAAUUCAUUUGUAGGGUUUUAAUUAGUAAACAAAAGCUAUUUGGGUUUCACACAGUCUACAUUAAUAAUAAUAAUAAAGCUUUAUUUAUAUAGCAAUUUUCAUACAACACAUGCAGCUCAAAGUGCUUUACAAAAUGUCAAGUCAAAGAAAAAAAAGAAAAAUAUUUCCCCUCAGAUUAUUUGUUAAGAACUUUAAAAGGUGCAUGCAGCAAAAUAUAACAUUUUAUCAGGUUAAUAGACACAAGGAGGUAAAAUGUAUGAUAAUAAAUAAAUAUUGACAGUUCAGACACAAGACAACUAAAUCGAUGCAAUAAUAUAAAAUAUAAAACCCCACAAAACAAAGUGAACAUUUUGGUACAACAGAAAAAAAGAAGAAGAUAA
Trematomus bernacchii (emerald rockcod) is the source of this 1876-nucleotide RNA transcript. It is a transcript of the gene named CMRF35-like molecule 9, with no coding region annotated. The transcript is spliced from 9 exons. The record is from RefSeq and is a predicted model, not a curated record. NCBI's taxonomy places the organism in Eukaryota, Metazoa, Chordata, Actinopteri, Perciformes, Nototheniidae.